Acipenser ruthenus (sterlet) is the source of this 1031-nucleotide long non-coding RNA. RefSeq lists it as uncharacterized. The transcript is spliced from 3 exons. The record is from RefSeq and is a predicted model, not a curated record. Lineage: Eukaryota; Metazoa; Chordata; Actinopteri; Acipenseriformes; Acipenseridae.
UUAAAACCCGACUUGACAAAGUUCUGACAUAUCAGCUGCUCGGAACCGUAAGAGAUUGCAGAAAACUUACAGCGUGUUUGAGAAUCCUAUAGCUCUGCACAGAUUUUAUACACAAACAAAUACUGUGUGCGUAUAACAUAUCUAUCUAUCUUAAGAUAGAUACAAUACAGAAAAAAGCAAAUUACGUAACUUUGAUCGUGUUUAUUGAAUAAAUCUCUUCGCGGCAGUCAACAAUAGAAAAUAAACAAUUUCAUGAUUAUUACAUUACUGUCGUUGUCGAAUGUGUGUGUCAAAAGACACAUACUUUUCAUUAAACUCGCGACCCAUCAAGACCGUUUUUAUUUCAUAGAUUUUUCUCAGUUUAAUGACAAAAAAGAACACGUACCUACCUUGCUUCAGGAGAAGUGGAGUGUGGAGUUUCAGGAAGUUGGAAGCUUCUAUUGUAUCUAGAGGGCGGGUUUUUCACCUGGGUAGACACCACUACAAUAAAGACAUUGCUUUACUGGCUUUACGCAAUUAUUGAGAAACUAAACUUAACAUUGCUGUCCUCCUGACGAUCGCGGAGGGAGGGGCGAGUCCUGGAAAAUGACGAAAUGUAAACCCACCUCUCUUCCACAAGAUGAACAAGAAACCCUAAAGGCUGCUUUACUGACAGUCCCAGCUGAAGUAAGCCAGAGCACAGGGGAGUCUGGAGUAGAGGAUGAGCCUUUCCACCAUGGUGAAAAAUUGAAGAUGAAAGUCGUAUGGAAAAGAAGAUGGGAAUCGAAGAAAUGGAAGGAUCGCAAAACAACAUGUGUGAUCUGACCUAACUUUUUUUUUUUUAAAAAUUGUAUUUGUUUAUUUAGCAGACGCCUUUAUCCAAGGCGACUUACAGAGAGUGUGUGAACUAUGCAUCAGCUGCAGAGUCACUUACAACUACGUCUCACCCGAAAGACGGAGCACAAGGAGGUGAAGUGACUUGCUCAGGGUCACACAAUGAGUCAGUGGCUGAGGUGGGAUUUGAACCGGGGACCUCUUGGUUACAAGCCAGU